CCAAACCUUACGUCCCCGAGAAUCGGCGGCGAGGGAUCAGGGCAACCCGAUCGCUUGCUGCCAAACUUAACAUAAAUCAAAACUAGGUGCCGAGGCAGGCCGCAGCUUUACGGCUGAGGCUAGCCGAGGUGCCGCCCAUUACUAAAUGACAACUGAACUGAACCAAACUGUAGUUGGAACCUUUACGGGUUCUUUCGACUGUAUAAUUCAUUACAACUUUCGGCAAUGGAUGUCUUGGAUCCCACAACGAUGAAGAACGCAGCGAAAUGCGAUACGUAAUGCGAAUUGCAGGACCUCGUGAAUCAUCAAAAUUUUGAACGCACAUUGCGCUUUUGGGUAAUGCCCAAGAGCAUGCUUAUCUGAGUGUCCCUAAACCCCACUCAACCACUGCGGCAUGUAAAAGUGCUCGCGGCGUGUUGGACUAUGACAGUGCGCGGCUUGCCGAGCUCUGUUGAAAUUCAUCAGUUUGUUGUUAUGUCCGGGCAGUUAGCGCUGCAGGUCUUAUACAAAUGCGACAAAAGAUUCGGUAGUUGAACUUCGGUUUGAUUCUUAUCUUGAGUUGCGGGAGUUAAAGACCAACCAGUCAUCUCGAUGAAAUGGGUCUGCCUUGCUCACGCUUGCGCAUUCCCCCCUUGAAUGUAAUUUAUCUAUGGAUCUCAGAUUAAGUAAGACUACCC
Molecule: ribosomal RNA, 677 nt
Filed under: Thalassiosira nordenskioeldii
Lineage: Eukaryota; Bacillariophyta; Thalassiosirophyceae; Thalassiosirales; Thalassiosiraceae
Description: eukaryotic LSU rRNA
Rfam family: 5.8S ribosomal RNA (bases 215-369)
Source: RNAcentral